GCUAAUCCCACUAAAGAGUCCUUAUCAAUAGUGGGGUUUGGCACCUCGAUGUUGGCUUAGGAUAUCUGUACGACGCAAAAGUCGUAAAUAGACGGUUUGUUCAACCAAUAAAAUCCUACAUGAGCUGAGUUCAGACCGGCGCAAGCCAGGUUAGUUUCUAUCCUCGAUAACAAAAUCUAUUUAUAGUACGAAAGGACCUAAAUAUGAAUAAUAAUUAUAAAUAAUGAAUGAAUAUAAUUAAUAUUAAGUAAUUAAUAAAAUAUACUAUU
This 269-nucleotide ribosomal RNA is filed under the name Geogenia zaloumisi. RNAcentral's name for it is "partial 16S ribosomal RNA". It matches the Rfam family "Bacterial large subunit ribosomal RNA", at positions 2481 to 2824 of the family's 2925-position model. The record is from RNAcentral. Lineage: Eukaryota; Metazoa; Annelida; Clitellata; Crassiclitellata; Microchaetidae.